CUACGGGAGGCAGCAGUGGGGAAUUUUGGACAAUGGGCGCAAGCCUGAUCCAGCAAUGCCGCGUGAGUGAAGAAGGCCUUCGGGUUGUAGAGCUCUUUCGUCAGGGAAGAAACGGCAGUCUCUAAUACAGAUUGCUAAUGACGGUACCUGAAGAAUAAGCACCGGCUAACUACGUGCCAGCAGCCGCGGUAAUACGUAGGGUGCAAGCGUUAAUCGGAAUUACUGGGCGUAAAGCGUGCGCAGGCGGUUUUGUAAGUCUGUCGUGAAAUCCCCGGGCUCAACCUGGGAAUGGCGAUGGAGACUGCAAGGCUAGAGUUUGGCAGAGGGGGGUAGAAUUCCACGUGUAGCAGUGAAAUGCGUAGAUAUGUGGAGGAACACCGAUGGCGAAGGCAGCCCCCUGGGUCAAAACUGACGCUCAUGCACGAAUGCGUGGGGAGCAAACAGGAUUAGAUACCCGAGUAGUCC
Molecule: ribosomal RNA, 465 nt
Filed under: uncultured bacterium
Lineage: Bacteria
Description: bacterial SSU rRNA
Rfam family: Bacterial small subunit ribosomal RNA
Source: RNAcentral